Molecule: ribosomal RNA, 253 nt
Filed under: uncultured bacterium
Lineage: Bacteria
Description: partial 16S ribosomal RNA
Rfam family: Bacterial small subunit ribosomal RNA
Source: RNAcentral
UACGGAGGGAGCUAGCGUUGUUCGGAAUUACUGGGCGUAAAGCGUACGUAGGCGGUUAUUCAAGUCAGAGGUGAAAGCCCGGGGCUCAACCCCGGAACUGCCUUUGAAACUAGAUAGCUAGAAUCUUGGAGAGGUCAGUGGAAUUCCGAGUGUAGAGGUGAAAUUCGUAGAUAUCGGAAGGAACACCGGUGGCGAAAGCGGCGCGCUGGAUCUCUUCUGACGCUGAGGCGCGAAAGCCAGGGGAGCGAACGGG